GAUGAAGAACGCAGCGAAAUGCGAUAAGUAAUGCGAAUUGCAGAAUUCCGUGAGUCAUCGAAUCUUUGAACGCACAUUGCGCCCGCCGGCACUCCGGCGGGCAUGCCUGUCCGAGCGUCAUUUCAACCCUCAGGCCCGAACCCCCCCGGGGGGGGCGGGCCUGGUGUUGGGGCUCGGGGUCCGCGAGGCCCCCGUCCCCUAAAUCCAGUGGCGGUCGCGCCGCACCCUCCCCUGCGUAGUAGCACACCUCGCACCGGAGAGCAGCGCGUCCACGCCGUGAAACCCCCAACUUACCAAGGUUGACCUCGGAUCAGGUAGGAAUACCCGCUGAACUUAAGCAUAUCAAUAAGCGGAGGA
This 357-nucleotide unclassified non-coding RNA is filed under the name soil metagenome. RNAcentral describes it as "partial contains 5.8S ribosomal RNA, internal transcribed spacer 2, and large subunit ribosomal RNA". The stretch from base 1 to 120 matches the Rfam family "5.8S ribosomal RNA", at positions 35 to 154 of the family's 154-position model. The record is from RNAcentral.